RNAcentral lists this ribosomal RNA (253 nucleotides) under uncultured bacterium. RNAcentral's name for it is "partial 16S ribosomal RNA". It matches the Rfam family "Bacterial small subunit ribosomal RNA", at positions 524 to 776 of the family's 1533-position model. The record is from RNAcentral.
UACGAAGGGGGCUAGCGUUGUUCGGAAUUACUGGGCGUAAAGGGCGCGUAGGCGGUGUGUCAAGUCAGGCGUGAAAGCCCCGGGCUCAACCUGGGAACCGCGCUUGAGACUGGCACGCUCGAGUUCGGGAGAGGAUGGUGGAAUUCCCAGUGUAGAGGUGAAAUUCGUAGAUAUUCGGAGGAACACCAGUGGCGAAGGCGGCUCACUGGUCCGGUACUGACGCUGAGGUGCGAAAGCGUGGGGAGCAAACAGG